UUGACCACAUCUACGUUUCAAAUCCGGACUUCUGCCAUCAAUCGGGCGUGUUACAGACCUACCACAGUUACCACAAUCCUGUGUACUGUGUAUUGCGUUUUUUUCCAUAGGUGAAUUGCCCGCUAUACCAGGUCACUGGGGCCACUGAAUCAGCAUUAACGACAACAGUGGGGCAACACCAGCCUUAGUUCCCCAGUGGCUUUUGUAUCAGUGGUGUCUUGGCCUUAAGCCAUACGGAACUGGGGUUCCAUUUAACCUCCUCUAUCGACGACAGUGACGUUGCGCUUAUAUUGUGUUGUCUUUGGUAAUAUGAAGGUGUUGUGUCACUGAGUUAUCUAGAGUACAGCAGCAGGAAGGACGAAGGAGUAGUGUGGCAGCUCCAGGCAGGACAGGAAGUGAAGGCAGCAGUAUACAGGACGCAGUCAGGAUUAGUGUAAUAACUCCAGGGAAGACACAGACAGUGAGAGCAACAGCAGCAUUGCAGGAAGAUUUUGGAGACCAAAGCAGUCCUCUGCAACACUGGAUAUGAGUGUGCAAUAUACCAUCUAAAGGAACCGGCGAGUCAGAAUGUCUGAGAAGAUCAAGUGUGCUUCUCCACUGAUGAUGAUGAGCUGGAUACCAGCUUAUGGGCUAAUUUCUUUCAAGGACGGGACCAGAUGUGUUUGGAGUUGAAGGCAAUGCUGAAGACCAAAGAAGCAACGGAAGAAGCACAUUAAAGCACUGAGU
Long non-coding RNA from Carassius carassius (crucian carp), 726 nucleotides. RefSeq lists it as uncharacterized. The record is from RefSeq and is a predicted model, not a curated record. NCBI's taxonomy places the organism in Eukaryota, Metazoa, Chordata, Actinopteri, Cypriniformes, Cyprinidae. The transcript is spliced from 4 exons.